Molecule: long non-coding RNA, 601 nt
Organism: Cloeon dipterum
Lineage: Eukaryota; Metazoa; Arthropoda; Insecta; Ephemeroptera; Baetidae
Exons: 2
Source: RefSeq, a predicted model, not a curated record
UUCUGAUUGGUUGGAAGAUCUGCUGAAGGUGCAAAAACAACCUAUCACGAGAGAGACGUUCGUCCAGUUCACUUCUUUCAGUGUGGUGCCUUUGCGAGUUUGCGAAAUUUUUGUUUCUGGUCUAAAUAUUGACUGAUUUCAUGCGUUUGUAAUCGAGAAAUGCGAAUCAAGCGACCACUGGGGUUGUCAGGACUUGAACUCGGAAUCGGUAUCUUCUUGGGCGUGCUCGGCGGCUUUUAUAUUUGGAAACCAAUCUUUGAAAAACAUUUCAAUUUCAAACCUCCGACUGAACAGGAGAAAAUAAGAGAUGUCACCUCAAGAGAAAACAGUCAGCCUACUCAAGCGAUAUAAAUUUCCACUUAUCAUCUCCGGCUUUGUCACCUGGUACGCCUUUUACUUCAAAGUUUACAGGCCACAAGCUGAACGAACACGGAUGGUGGAAAACGAAGCAUUUGCCGAAGCGGUAUUCAAGAGGAGACAAGCUAGUGGAGAAGAAAUCCAAUAAUUUCAAUUCGUCGAUGUACAAAAUAUUAUGAAUUUCGAAAUAUGUACAUAUUAGUGUUGAUAAAAUUAAAAACAAUCGCUUCCCUUUUUGAUUAAA